CUCUCAGGUCUGGAGCUGAACGGGAUGGGUGUUGAUAAAGGGGAGACUCCUCCUCCCCUGCCCGUGAAGGGCAUCUCUGCUGAUUAUGGGAACCUGCUAGGAGAUAAUCAAGACUUGACGAGUCCCUCCACCCCUCCCCUGACUCACCAUCAAAGGCAUCUGCCGCCUCCUCUUCCCAGCAAGACUCCCCCUCCCCCUCCCCCGAAGACCACCAGGAAACAAGCCUCCAUCGAUUCAGGAAUUGUACAAUAAACAAUGACAUUAAGACACCAGAUUAAAAAAAAAACAAGGUUCUUUCCCCUCUGCAAUCUCUCCCCCCCCCCCCCCCCCCGUCCCCCCCGUCCCCGCUCAACACAAGGAUGCAUUCCAAAAUGGCGACCUAUUACCAGUAGUGCACUACUUUGGACUACUUUUGACCAUAGGGCUCUGGUCAAACGUAGGGCACUAUAUAGUGAAGAGGGUGCCAUUUGGGGAAACAGCAACAGUCUGACCAGGAGUGGAAGAAGAGUUUCUCACUCAGGCAACACUCCUUAUUGAGCCAUUCAUUUUGACUGUGUCCCAAACGGCACCCUAUUCCCUAUAUAGUGCACUACUUUUGGUCACGGCCGAUUAAGGCUCUGGUAAAUAGUAGUUCACUACGUAGGGAAUAUGGGGGUGCCGUUUGGUGCAGAGACUCAUUGAUUCUUUCAUUUUUGCCUCUAGUGUGAUGAUGCGGUCUACUUUACCAUAGGUAGAUAGGUGAAUCAGUUUCACAUGAUUACUGGUCACUGAAUUCAUUGAUGCUGUUUACCAUCUAUGACUCCAUUCUCCACUUGAUAUACCACUUAGUUCAGGCCUUUGUAAAUGCUAUGAGAUCGUGUUCCACCUAUAGAAUUAGAAUGAGUGAAAUGGAUUUAGAAUCAGAACCAGGUGAGUGAACCGUUCUCUGGUUCUGUCUUUUACACUUUGACCAAUAGACAGGCUGGUGAGUGACGAGCAGCAUUCUGACCCCGCCCACCUGCUCUUAGGAGCUGGGAGCACAUAGUAACAGAAAACAGGCUUUUUAUUCCGUAGUUUAUCUUUUGUAUGCAUAGUUACAGAAAACAUCAUUUUAUUCAGUGGUUUAUCUUUUUCUAUCCAUAUUCCCGCUUUGUACAGAGGUUUGUAUAUAGGAUUUUAUUUUCAUUUUUUAUGUGGAAUUUAUCAUGACUUUUUUGUAUUAACAUUGCAUUAGAUUAACAGGUUUUCAUUUAUAUACCCCCCAAAAAGUUUUUUUUAAGUUUUUAAAUGACAGGGACUGUAAAGAAUUGGUAUGUGAGAAUCUGCCUAUCAUUGAUUCUAUUGGUAAGGUUUGUGUUUUCUUUGGAGUGAACACAACUAACUCCCUCCUUCAUCAUACGUUGUCAUUGUAUAGGAUUUUUAAUGCUGUAACAUUGACUGUUUCCAAUUCACUACUGACUUCUGAAUAAACGUUCAACUGUA
Salvelinus namaycush (lake trout) is the source of this 1461-nucleotide long non-coding RNA. RefSeq lists it as uncharacterized. Lineage: Eukaryota; Metazoa; Chordata; Actinopteri; Salmoniformes; Salmonidae. The record is from RefSeq and is a predicted model, not a curated record. The transcript is spliced from 2 exons.